Eriocheir sinensis (Chinese mitten crab) is the source of this 1775-nucleotide long non-coding RNA. RefSeq lists it as uncharacterized. The record is from RefSeq and is a predicted model, not a curated record. The transcript has 2 exons. Lineage: Eukaryota; Metazoa; Arthropoda; Malacostraca; Decapoda; Varunidae.
CUAUACUCUACAAUCUACAUACAAAAUUCAAGUAAUUCGGGUAACGCUAUACAUACUUACAAAAUUCAAGUAACUCUUAUUAACACUCUACUCAACAUGGCUUACCAAAUUCAGUGACGUCUUCGUAAACAUCUAUUCUAAAAACAUUCCUUUGAAAAACAUCCGUUCAUUGGGUGGGAACGGAUGUGUGCUGCUCGGGACGCUCUCACGUUCAACACCUCAUCUCUCCUCUCUUCUCUCUCUUUCUUCUCCUCUCCUCUACUUUCCACAUCUCUCUUUUUUUCUUUUUCCUUCUGGUUCUGUCUCUGCGUCUCUAUUCUAGUCUUUUGAUCGGCCAUACUCUCUAUCUAUCUAUCUGUUUAUCUAUUUAUCUAUCUAUCGCUAUACUUUUUAUUAUUUUUAUCGGAGUUUUGUUACCUUAUGUUAAGCAGUUCGAGAUGUUCACCUAAUGAUGUUCUCGUGUGUAUUUAAUAAGUUGGUCAAUAUUUUUUUUUUAUACGCUGUUAACGGACAGACAGACAAACCGAGGAACAACGAAAAUAUCAAAGAGUUCAUCGCUACACUAAGGCGAACAACAAGUAUAUUUAUCCAUCUAUCUAUCUGUCUGUCUAUCUAUCUACCUAUCUAUCUACCUAUCUAUCUAUCUAUCUGUCUAUCUAUCUAUAUCUAUUAAGCUAGCUCUAUCAACCUGUGUCUAUCUAUCAAUCUCUCUAUAUUUAUACACUACACUUUUUAAUCCUUAACUACGCGGGAAAAAAUGUUAUGGAAGGCAGGAGUGUAGGAGGGUAGGCAGGGGUUUGUUAGUCGCGUCCUGGGUAUAAUUACACGUUCACCACCAGUCACUCACUUGUUGCGCAGGAAAAAAAGUUGUCAUGGGAGGCAGAAGUUCAGGAGGGUGGGCAGCAGGUUGUUAGUGGCGUUCUGGGUAGGAUUUCCACCGAGCUCUAUUUUUAGUAGCCGAAGUGCAUUGGUGUUGUUUUCCCAGACAAAGGGGGCGCCCAGGUGUUGCUCCACACCUGGGAAAGAGGGAACUCCGAGGCGUGUGUUUACUGGAAGAGAUCGAUCGAGAGAUAGGAACAAGCCUAGGGAUCAUAAGGCGGCAGCGGCUCUCCCUGGCACCAGUGCAGGUUGGCUACUUCCUUCGUCAACACCAACACCCCAAGAAUGCGUCUGCUGUGGAUCCUGGUGGCGGUGGUGGUGGCGGUGCUCUCCAUCGCCAGCCCGGCCAUUGCGUCGUUCGGCGGAGGAGGAUACGGUGGCGGCUUUGGAGGGCGAGGCGGCGGUUUUGGAGGGCGAGGCGGCGGUUUUGGAGGGCGAGGCGGCGGUUUUGGAGGCCGCGGCGGUCGCGGCGGCUAUGGCGGCUAACAGGGACAUUAGCCCCGCGUGAUGCCAAACCUGACGACGACACAUGCUCGCUCCUGGCUACAACGGACCCCCCACCCCCGAGCCCCCAGUUCAUUAACUACGGGGCUCCCUACACCCACUGGUCCUCCCGCCAGUCUUCCUCUCCUUCAAACUUCCUCUUCAGGCUUCGUUCGUCUUCUCCUGCAUCACCUGUCCCGUCUUUGCUCCUCGGCCAGGUGGAGUGGAAGCCUCACACCUGGCCCCCUACCGCUCGCUAUGACCUUACCUGUAAUUACCUCGUGCUUUAAGAGGCGCCGACUCGAUCUGUCUUGGCGCCUUUUUUUGUGUGUUCAUGUUAGUCACAAGAAUCCUGCCUUAGGGUUCUCAUACUUGUGUUUUCCUUCAAUAAAGCCAAAGUACAUGCAGCAAAA